Molecule: ribosomal RNA, 510 nt
Filed under: uncultured bacterium
Lineage: Bacteria
Description: bacterial SSU rRNA
Rfam family: Bacterial small subunit ribosomal RNA
Source: RNAcentral
GAUAAACGCUAGCGGCAGGCCUAACACAUGCAAGUCGAGGGGCAGCAUAUAAGAAACUUCGGUUACUUAUGAUGGCGACCGGCGCACGGGUGCGUAACGCGUAUGCAACCUACCUUUAACAGGGGGAUAAUUCGGAGAAAUCUGGUCUAAUACCCCAUAAUAUUUUAGAUGGCAUCAUUUAAAGUUGAAAACUCCGGUGGUUAAAGAUGGGCAUGCGUUGUAUUAGUUAGUUGGUAAGGUAACGGCUUACCAAGGCUACGAUACAUAGGGGGACUGAGAGGUUAUCCCCCCACACUGGUACUGAGACACGGACCAGACUCCUACGGGAGGCAGCAGUGAGGAAUAUUGGUCAAUGGACGCAAGUCUGAACCAGCCAUGCCGCGUGCAGGAAGACGGCUCUACGAGUUGUAAACUGCUUUUUUACGAGGGUAAUAUCACCUACGUGUAGGUGUUUGAAAGUAUCGUAAGAAUAAGGACCGGCUAACUCCGUGCCAGCCGCCGCCGUAAAAC